This 253-nucleotide ribosomal RNA is filed under the name uncultured bacterium. RNAcentral describes it as "partial 16S ribosomal RNA". It matches the Rfam family "Bacterial small subunit ribosomal RNA", at positions 524 to 776 of the family's 1533-position model. The record is from RNAcentral.
UACGUAGGUGACAAGCGUUGUCCGGAUUUACUGGGCGUAAAGAGCGCGCAGGCGGUCGAUCAAGUCGAGUGUGAAAGCCCCCGGCUCAACUGGGGAGGGUCAUUCGAAGCUGGUCGACUCGAGGGCAGGAGAGGGUAGUGGAAUUCCCGGUGUAGUGGUGAAAUGCGUAGAUAUCUGGAGGAACACCGGUGGCGAAGGCGGCAUCCUGGACCGGCAUUGACGCUGAGGAGCGAAAGCCAGGGGAGCAAACGGG